UGUCUGGGAAACUGCCUGAUGGAGGGGGAUAACUACUGGAAACGGUAGCUAAUACCGCAUAACGUCGCAAGACCAAAGAGGGGGACCUUCGGGCCUCUUGCCAUCAGAUGUGCCCAGAUGGGAUUAGCUAGUAGGUGGGGUAAUGGCUCACCUAGGCGACGAUCCCUAGCUGGUCUGAGAGGAUGACCAGCCACACUGGAACUGAGACACGGUCCAGACUCCUACGGGAGGCAGCAGUGGGGAAUAUUGCACAAUGGGCGCAAGCCUGAUGCAGCCAAGCCGCGUGUGUGAAGAAGGCCUUCGGGUUGUAAAGCACUUUCAGCGAGGAGGAAGGUGGUGAGCUUAAUACGCUCAUCAAUUGACGUUACUCGCAGAAGAAGCACCGGCUAACUCCGUGCCAGCAGCCGCGGUAAUACGGAGGGUGCAAGCGUUAAUCGGAAUUACUGGGCGUAAAGCGCACGCAGGCGGUUUGUUAAGUCAGAUGUGAAAG
Molecule: ribosomal RNA, 490 nt
Filed under: uncultured bacterium
Lineage: Bacteria
Description: bacterial SSU rRNA
Rfam family: Bacterial small subunit ribosomal RNA
Source: RNAcentral